GGGUACCGCUCCCUUCUCUCUGCUCUGCAUCCGGUAUAGAUGCGGAGCCCGA
This 52-nucleotide non-coding RNA is filed under the name unclassified sequences. The record is from RNAcentral.